Molecule: long non-coding RNA, 585 nt
Organism: Tympanuchus pallidicinctus (lesser prairie-chicken)
Lineage: Eukaryota; Metazoa; Chordata; Aves; Galliformes; Phasianidae
Exons: 5
Source: RefSeq, a predicted model, not a curated record
GGAAGUUUUAAAAUCAAUCCCUGACACGUCUCUCCUUUUAAUUUCUUUUGAAUACUGACUGAAUUUUUCUUCUAUUUGUCCCUAAUUUUAAAAUCCAGAGAGAAAAUAAGUAAAAAUUUUGCUUUGCAGUUGAUGUGCCACAAUGUAUGAGUUUUCAUCUAAAACUUCAAAUAUCUUCAGAGUUUCUGCUAAAGCUGUGAUUGCUCAUCCCAGAGUCACUGGACUGAUGAGGCAAGCUACAGCGGUGGGAUGGCAGAAGCAGCUGUGGGUCAUUGCCUAUGGACUCACACAGGAGGGAGACCUGCAGGCCACAGUUUGAAGAUUGGAAGAACAGAACUGUGACAGCAGCAGGAGGGGGAUUUGCCAUCUUCAAAUUAUGCUUUACAGACACAACGGCCAAGAUGAGAAACUGAGAUGCAGACUGAUCCCAACUCCCAGCUUUCUCAGAUUAUUUGGCUUGGAAAUAACAUUGAGGAUCAAUGGAAGAUCACAUCCAUUUGGAGGUAAGAAGAGAAUAGCAUGCUUGCUCAGAGGAUGGUUUUUCGCUUAGCACCGUUGUGCUCAGGACUGGACUCCAAAAGCAAG